RNAcentral lists this ribosomal RNA (993 nucleotides) under Nocardiopsis dassonvillei. RNAcentral describes it as "bacterial SSU rRNA". It matches the Rfam family "Bacterial small subunit ribosomal RNA", at positions 530 to 1533 of the family's 1533-position model. Lineage: Bacteria; Bacillati; Actinomycetota; Actinomycetes; Streptosporangiales; Nocardiopsidaceae. The record is from RNAcentral.
GGGGGUCUACGGUGUCGGCAUAUUGAGGCGAAAGAGCUCGUAGGCGGCGUGUCGCGUCUGCUGUGAAAGACCGGGGCUUAACUCCGGUUCUGCAGUGGAUACGGGCAUGCUAGAGGUAGGUAGGGGAGACUGGAAUUCCUGGUGUAGCGGUGAAAUGCGCAGAUAUCAGGAGGAACACCGGUGGGGAAGGCGGGUCUCUGGGCCUUACCUGACGCUGAGGAGCGAAAGCAUGGGGAGCGAACAGGAUUAGAUACCCUGGUAGUCCAUGCCGUAAACGUUGGGCGCUAGGUGUGGGGACUUUCCACGGUUUCCGCGCCGUAGCUAACGCAUUAAGCGCCCCGCCUGGGGAGUACGGCCGCAAGGCUAAAACUCAAAGGAAUUGACGGGGGCCCGCACAAGCGGCGGAGCAUGUUGCUUAAUUCGACGCAACGCGAAGAACCUUACCAAGGUUUGACAUCACCCGUGGACUCGCAGAGAUGUGAGGUCAUUUAGUUGGCGGGUGACAGGUGGUGCAUGGCUGUCGUCAGCUCGUGUCGUGAGAUGUUGGGUUAAGUCCCGCAACGAGCGCAACCCUUGUUCCAUGUUGCCAGCACGUAAUGGUGGGGACUCAUGGGAGACUGCCGGGGUCAACUCGGAGGAAGGUGGGGAUGACGUCAAGUCAUCAUGCCCCUUAUGUCUUGGGCUGCAAACAUGCUACAAUGGCCGGUACAAUGGGCGUGCGAUACCGUAAGGUGGAGCGAAUCCCUAAAAGCCGGUCUCAGUUCGGAUUGGGGUCUGCAACUCGACCCCAUGAAGGUGGAGUCGCUAGUAAUCGCGGAUCAGCAACGCCGCGGUGAAUACGUUCCCGGGCCUUGUACACACCGCCCGUCACGUCAUGAAAGUCGGCAACACCCGAAACUUGCGGCCUAACCCCUUGUGGGAGGGAGUGAGUGAAGGUGGGGCUGGCGAUUGGGACGAAUCGUACAGAGGGAAAACACCUAUAAAGGGGGGGGG